This 364-nucleotide unclassified non-coding RNA is filed under the name Hevea brasiliensis (rubber tree). Lineage: Eukaryota; Viridiplantae; Streptophyta; Magnoliopsida; Malpighiales; Euphorbiaceae. The record is from RNAcentral.
AAAAAUAUACUCUUUAAUUUAUCUUUUCUGUCCUUUAAAAAAUAUUGGUGUUAUUUUUCAGCACUUUCAUUUUCACCAUGCAGAUCCAUAUUAAUGAAGUGGCAGAUAAAUAGCAUAGAGCCAGUUUGUUGAAAUCUAUACCCUGGAAUAUAAGUCACUUGAAUGUCUUGAAGGAAAUCCUGAACUUGAUUCUAGGGUAUGGAUUUCAGUUAACUGGUUCUGUAUUAGUUUAUAUACCUCAUCAAUUUUCACACUACUGACUUGCACUACGACAUACUAGGCAUUAAUUUGAACCACUUAUUUCAAAUAUACUGGAAUUCCGUUGAUUUGGUGUUCAUGAAUGCACUCCAGUGGAGUUAAAUAU